CAUCAGACCUCUAAUCGGAAAAGACUACCCGCUGAGUUUAAGCAUAUCAAUAAGC
Molecule: ribosomal RNA, 55 nt
Filed under: Hygroamblystegium tenax
Lineage: Eukaryota; Viridiplantae; Streptophyta; Bryopsida; Hypnales; Amblystegiaceae
Description: Amblystegium tenax partial 26S ribosomal RNA
Source: RNAcentral